RNAcentral lists this ribosomal RNA (454 nucleotides) under uncultured bacterium. Its description in RNAcentral is "bacterial SSU rRNA". It matches the Rfam family "Bacterial small subunit ribosomal RNA", at positions 30 to 483 of the family's 1533-position model. The record is from RNAcentral.
AUUGAACGCUGGCGGCGUGCCUUACACAUGCAAGUCGAACGGCAGCACGGGAGCAAUCCUGGUGGCGAGUGGCGAACGGGUGAGUAAUAUAUCGGAACGUGCCCAGUCGUGGGGAUAACGUAGCGAAAGCUACGCUAAUACCGCAUACGAUCUAUGGAUGAAAGCGGGGGAUCGCAAGACCUCGCGCGAUUGGAGCGGCCGAUAUCAGAUUAGGUAGUUGGUGAGGUAAAGGCUCACCAAGCCGACGAUCUGUAGCUGGUCUGAGAGGACGACCAGCCACACUGGGACUGAGACACGGCCCAGACUCCUACGGGAGGCAGCAGUGAGGAAUAUUGGACAAUGGGCGCAAGCCUGAUCCAGCCAUGCCGCGUGCAGGAUGACGGUCCUAUGGAUUGUAAACUGCUUUUGUACAGGAAGAAACACUACUUCGUGAAGUAGCUUGACGGUACUGUAA